UUUGAUCCCUCAUUUUUAUGUUGGUACGUAGGCACAAGUCCGAAGGUCUUGUCAAACACAAAAAUAUAAUCAAUAAAUUCUUUUCUCAUCCCCACACUCUAUUUUUCUCAAACAAAACUACGAGGUUUUGAUCCCUCAUUUUUAUGUUGGUACGUAGGCACAAGUCCGAAGGUCUUGUCAAACACAAAAAUAUAAUCAAUAAAUUCUUUUCUCAUCCCCACACUCUAUUUUUCUCAAACAUCAUUUAUAUCAAAACACAUGCACACAUAAAAAAGGGCUCCCUAGGAGUACCUAGGACACUUUGGGUGCUAACACCUUUCCUCUGUGUAACCAACCCCCUUACCUGU
This 347-nucleotide long non-coding RNA is filed under the name Lathyrus oleraceus (garden pea). Its description in RNAcentral is "Pisum sativum (pea) long non-coding RNA (PSAT_LNC026974)". Lineage: Eukaryota; Viridiplantae; Streptophyta; Magnoliopsida; Fabales; Fabaceae. The record is from RNAcentral.